This 601-nucleotide ribosomal RNA is filed under the name Amolops daorum. RNAcentral's name for it is "partial 16S ribosomal RNA". The stretch from base 345 to 593 matches the Rfam family "Archaeal large subunit ribosomal RNA", at positions 1787 to 2143 of the family's 2987-position model. Lineage: Eukaryota; Metazoa; Chordata; Amphibia; Anura; Ranidae. The record is from RNAcentral.
UUAUUUGAAACGGGACACAACCCCUAAUACUGGGUUUAUCUAGAUACACUAAAUAAAGUGGGCCUAAAAGCAGCCACCUUCCAAAGAGCGUUAAAGCUUAAUGUACCAACAUCUAUAAUUCCACAAUUUUUACUUAACCCUUCAUUACUACUGAACUAUUUUAUACUCUAUAAAAGCUAUUAUGCUAGAACUAGUAACAAGAAAUUGCCUUUCUCCUCAAUGUAUGUUUGAACCAAAAUGGACACUCCACUGGUAACUAACGCAAAUGUAAAUAUCAUAGUACCACACGACUAGAAAAUCCUAUGUUUACCCAACGUCAACCUUACACUAGAACAUUACAGGAAAGAUUAAAAGAGAAAGAAGGAACUCGGCAAAUCACAGUCCCGCCUGUUUACCAAAAACAUCGCCUCUUGCCUAAACAUAAGAGGUCCAGCCUGCCCAGUGACAUAGUUUAACGGCCGCGGUACCCUAACCGUGCGAAGGUAGCAUAAUCACUUGUUCUUUAAAUAGGGACUUGUAUCAACGGCAUCACGAGGGCUGUACUGUCUCCUUUCUCCAAUCAGUGAAACUGAUUUCCCCGUGAAGAAGCGGGGAUAAACCU